UUCAACCGCAAAACAAGCAGAGGGGGCUUAGUGGUGGGGUGACUGCGUACCUUUUGUAUAAUGGGUCAGCGACUUAUAUUCUGUAGCAAGGUUAACCGAAUAGGGGAGCCGGAGGGAAACCGAGUCUUAAUUGGGCGUUAAGUUGCAGGGUAUAGACCCGAAACCCGGUGAUCUAGCCAUGGGCAGGUUGAAGGUUGGGUAACACUAACUGGAGGACCGAACCGACUAAUGUUGAAAAAUUAGCGGAUGACCUGUGGCUGGGGGUGAAAGGCCAAUCAAACCGGGAGAUAGCUGGUUCUCCCCGAAAGCUAUUUAGGUAGCGCCUCGUGAAUUCAUCUCCGGGGGUAGAGCACUGUUUCGGCUAGGGGGCCAUCCCGGCUUACCAACCCGAUGCAAACUGCGAAUACCGGAGAAUGUUAUCACGGGAGACACACGGCGGGUGCUAACGUCCGUCGUGAAGAGGGAAACAACCCAGACCGCCAGCUAAGGUCCCAAAGUCAUGGUUAAGUGGGAAACGAUGUGGGAAGGCCCAGACAGCCAGGAUGUUGGCUUAGAAGCAGCCAUCAUUUAAAGAAAGCGUAAUAGCUCACUGGUCGAGUCGGCCUGCGCGGAAGAUGUAACGGGGCUAAACCAUGCACCGAAGCUGCGGCAGCGAACGUAUCACCCAAGACAACUUUACGGAGUUGACGAUUGACGGAGCGAAGCGACGUCAAAGCGUUCAUUAAAGUCGAGUUGGCUUAGGGAUACGUUCGUUGGGUAGGGGAGCGUUCUGUAAGCCUGUGAAGGUGUGUCGUGAGGCAUGCUGGAGGUAUCAGAAGUGCGAAUGCUGACAUAAGUAACGAUAAAGCGGGUGAAAAGCCCGCUCGCCGGAAGACCAAGGGUUCCUGUCCAACGUUAAUCGGGGCAGGGUGAGUCGACCCCUAAGGCGAGGCCGAAAGGCGUAGUCGAUGGGAAACGGGUUAAUAUUCCCGUACUUGGUGUUACUGCGAAGGGGGGACGGAGAAGGCUAUGUUGGCCGGGCGACGGUUGUCCCGGUUUAAGCGUGUAGGUGUGUGUUCCAGGUAAAUCCGGUUCACUUUAACACUGAGGCGUGACGACGAGG
Molecule: ribosomal RNA, 1102 nt
Filed under: Salmonella enterica subsp. enterica serovar Typhimurium
Lineage: Bacteria; Pseudomonadati; Pseudomonadota; Gammaproteobacteria; Enterobacterales; Enterobacteriaceae
Description: partial 23S ribosomal RNA
Rfam family: Bacterial large subunit ribosomal RNA
Source: RNAcentral